UCAAAUUGCUUAAUAAAGCAACAUAAAUUCAUAAUAGCAGCUUUAAAAGCACUUAUGUCUUUGUUUUUUUUUGUGUCAUUUUAAAUUCAGGUCAAUCGUCUGUGUUAGGACCUUGGGCUGUCUACCCAAGUGCCUGACUAAAUUAACAAAACAGGAAACAUUGACAAAUACCGAUGGUAGUAGAGCCAUUCCUAAGGGUUUAUUUGAUCCGCUGUACAUUCAGACGAAAAUGCUGCAAUUACUCCUUCUGCACUUCCUGUUCGAUGCACUUGUGUACCGGCAUUGGCGUCGACUCUAAUCAAAUCCAAACCUGGGGAUGCCGGUGUUAUGCAACUAAAACGUAUCCGUCUUUCUAAGAAUUCAAGGUUGCAACUUUGCGAUCCUGAUGGGAUUACAGAGUGGGAGGAAGAGAUUACAACGUGGCCCGAUGUUCAUCUUUAUUUUGUGGAGAAGCCAACUGUUUGCACCAGAGACAAAACUGCGAGCCCUGCUUGGACCAUCGUCAACAGAAAGGAGAACUACAUCCGCAUAGAUCUUGCAUUUCAGGCCAUUUUGUGGGAACUAUAUGGGGAAUUUCCCUUAGCGGCUCCCAGUGCACAAAGCAAGGGUAAAGGAAUCCUCGGGUGAGUUUGGUGGGGAACAACUUAACCCCGGUGAACACGUUUGGGAUGCACUAGAGCAGAGCUGACGAGCAACGAGGCCCUCUCACAUUAUCCUCUGGAUGAAUGGGGCAACACGAUUCCCACAGAUGCAUCAAAAUCCUCCCAGAAGAAAGUCUUCCCAGAACCCACUUUAUUCUUCCACGAUGAACAUGUGAGAUCAAAGCAGUAGGAACAGGGCUUCAUUUUCUCGCCGAAGCGGAAGGAGGUUAUUGGCUCACACUGUGCGGAUGAGAAAGAAAUCAUUUGGAGAACGUCCUGAUGAGUGAGUGAUGUCACUUCCUGCCAUUUGCCAUUACAGUGG
Long non-coding RNA from Hippocampus zosterae (dwarf seahorse), 963 nucleotides. RefSeq lists it as uncharacterized. The record is from RefSeq and is a predicted model, not a curated record. The transcript has 4 exons. Lineage: Eukaryota; Metazoa; Chordata; Actinopteri; Syngnathiformes; Syngnathidae.